RNAcentral lists this ribosomal RNA (446 nucleotides) under uncultured bacterium. RNAcentral describes it as "partial 16S ribosomal RNA". It matches the Rfam family "Bacterial small subunit ribosomal RNA", at positions 329 to 792 of the family's 1533-position model. The record is from RNAcentral.
GGCCAGACUCCUACGGGAGGCAGCAGUGGGGAAUAUUGCACAAUGGGGGAAACCCUGAUGCAGCGACGCCGCGUGAAGGAAGAAGUAUUUCGGUAUGUAAACUUCUAUCAGCAGGGAAGAAAAUGACGGUACCUGACUAAGAAGCCCCGGCUAACUACGUGCCAGCAGCCGCGGUAAUACGUAGGGGGCAAGCGUUAUCCGGAUUUACUGGGUGUAAAGGGGGCGCAGACGGCGAUGCAAGCCAGGAGUGAAAGCCCGGGGCCCAACCCCGGGACUGCUCUUGGAACUGCGUGGCUGGAGUGCAGGAGGGGCAGGCGGAAUUCCUGGUGUAGCGGUGAAAUGCGUAGAUAUCAGGAGGAACACCGGUGGCGAAGGCGGCCUGCUGGACUGCGACUGACGUUGAGGCCCGAAAGCGUGGGGAGCAAACAGGAUUAGAUACCCGCGUA